GACGAACGCUGGCGGCGUGCUUAACACAUGCAAGUCGAACGAAAAGACGCGGCUCUCACUGUUCUCGCGUUGCGGACGGAUGAGUAAGUCGCGGGUGGUUUGCCUCUCACUUUGGCAUGAGUCUGGUAGACUGACUGUAGUACUGAAUAGGACCAUUCUUGAGGUGGUUUGGUGGAUAGAGUAGGUCGGUUAAGGGGUGAGCUCUAGGUCUAUCAGCGCGUUGUUGGGGUAAUGGCAUACCAAGGCGUCGACGGGUAGCCGGCCGGAGCGGGUGGACGGCCACAUUGGGACUGAGAUACGGCCCAGCCUCCUACGGGAGGCAGCAGUGGGGAAUAUUGCACAAUGGGCGCAAGCCUGAUGCAGCGACGCCGCGUGGGGGAUGACGGCCUUCGGGUUGUAAACUCCUUUCAGCCAUGACGAAGCCCUUGUGGUGACGGUAGUGGUAGAAGAAGCACCGGCUAACUACGUG
RNAcentral lists this ribosomal RNA (469 nucleotides) under uncultured bacterium. Its description in RNAcentral is "partial 16S ribosomal RNA". It matches the Rfam family "Bacterial small subunit ribosomal RNA", at positions 28 to 507 of the family's 1533-position model. The record is from RNAcentral.